AACGAACGCUGGCGGCAUGCCUAACACAUGCAAGUCGAACGAGACCUUCGGGUCUAGUGGCGCACGGGUGCGUAACGCGUGGGAACCUGCCCUUAGGUUCGGAAUAACUCCCCGAAAGGGGUGCUAAUACCGGUUAAUGUCUUCGGACCAAAGAUUUCUCGCCUUUGGAUGGGCCCGCGUUGGAUUAGCUAGUUGGUAGGGUAAAAGCCUACCAAGGCGACGAUCCAUAGCUGGUCUGAGAGGAUGAUCAGCCACACUGGGACUGAGACACGGCCCAGACUCCUACGGGAAGGAGCAGUGGGGAAUAGUGGAGAGUCGGCGUAAGCCUGAUCCAGCCAUGCCGCGUGAGUGUUGAAGGGCUUAGGGUUGUAAAGCUCUUUUACCCGGGAUGAUAAUGACAGUACCGGGAGAAUAAGCUCCGGCUAACUCCGUG
Molecule: ribosomal RNA, 433 nt
Filed under: uncultured bacterium
Lineage: Bacteria
Description: partial 16S ribosomal RNA
Rfam family: Bacterial small subunit ribosomal RNA
Source: RNAcentral